This 72-nucleotide transfer RNA is filed under the name Anaeramoeba flamelloides. RNAcentral's name for it is "tRNA-Arg". It matches the Rfam family "tRNA". Rfam says of the family: Transfer RNA (tRNA) molecules are approximately 80 nucleotides in length. Lineage: Eukaryota; Anaeramoebidae. The record is from RNAcentral.
GGUCCUGUAGCGCAGUGGUAGCGCGUCUGAUUUCUAAUCAGAAGGUCGUAGGUUCGAGCCCUACCUGGAUCG